ACGGGUUCAUGUCCUAAUGAAAGGAUUUCUGUCUUGACAAAUACGUUUGAGUAUACAAAGCUAAGUUUUAGAGAUCCUAAUUUAGCUUUUAACUGAUACAUUUGAGACAGAGCUAAGUUUUAGAGAUCCUAAUUUAGCUUCUUUAUUUAGGAACAAAUAUCUAUUUUUAAUCUGUAAUGAUAUCAAAUUUCUUUUUCACUUUGUUUAUAUAAUUGAAAUACCAAGGUGCUCAUAUGAAGUGACAUUAUAACUUUUCGAAUCCUACAUGUUUUCCUUUUUUUCGUAAUCUUUCACAACUCUCAACACGAUUGUGAGCCUAAUGAAACUGAUCUGGACAUGUGAACUUACAGAGAAUGUUACCCAACUAUUCAUCAAAUAACCCAGUCGGGAUAUGGAACUUUUCUUCUGUGUACGGUCUUGAUAUGUUUGAGGCAAAAGUUCGUGGUGAAUUCGGCAUCGGAUUGAAUAUUCAGAUUUUGGAUGAUGUUAAGUUGGAUGUCUUUAUCUUACAUGAAUUUGGACAAGAUAGAGAUAGUUAACGUUCCACCACAUUUGGUGUAUGCAUGUUCGAAAGCGAGUCGGAUCGACAAAUAUAAUACAUUUUCAUUUGAUGG
Molecule: long non-coding RNA, 614 nt
Organism: Helianthus annuus (common sunflower)
Lineage: Eukaryota; Viridiplantae; Streptophyta; Magnoliopsida; Asterales; Asteraceae
Exons: 2
Source: RefSeq, a predicted model, not a curated record